Molecule: long non-coding RNA, 338 nt
Organism: Octopus bimaculoides (California two-spot octopus)
Lineage: Eukaryota; Metazoa; Mollusca; Cephalopoda; Octopoda; Octopodidae
Source: RefSeq, a predicted model, not a curated record
AAUGAAACUAUCAAAGAUUCACUACUUGUAUUUUAAUUACAAAGUAAUUUGUAUAAAUUACCAAAAUGUUAUUUUUUUCAGAAUCUCUUCAACCCACAGUGUGUUUAUUGGGAUGAAUCUCCUGGACAGGAUCCUCAUUGGUCAACAAAAGGCUGUAAUACAUCCAUGUAUGUACCUGGAGAGAAAAUGUUUUGUUCCUGUAACCAUCUGACAAGUUUUGCCAUAUUAAUGGAUGUCAAACAUGAUAUUAGUCACCUCUUAUAUAUAACAUCUUACAUUGGCUGCGGAAUAUCAUUAGUCUGUCUCAUUCUUACAGUAGUAAUCCAUGUUUGUUCCAA